Ixodes scapularis (black-legged tick) is the source of this 72-nucleotide non-coding RNA. Lineage: Eukaryota; Metazoa; Arthropoda; Arachnida; Ixodida; Ixodidae. The record is from Rfam.
GCAGCCGUCAAAGGGACUGUGAAAUGUCUCCCUUCUUGGUCAGCAUAUCACAGCCACCUUUGAUGAGCUGUA